AGUCAAAAGAACUUUAAAAAUUACAGAAAUAUAACUUUGUCUCAAAUGUCACCUCCUCCUUGAUAAACACCAAAAGUUAUCCAAGAAAUGCCUUCUGCCUACUUUUACUGCAUGAUAGUUUAACAGCCUUCUGGUCUAUUCAGCACUUGCGUAUUUUCUCCUUAGGAAAACUUUAUGUUACCAUAUUAUUUAUCCUCUUGCUGUGAUGGAAGAAGUUUACAAUUACAAAUAAGGAGACUAGAUCCUACUUUCAGCACUAUCACUGAGUGACCCUAUAUUCAAGACUACCAAGGACUGUCCCCAUUUGUGUCUGUUGUCCUAAUAUAACACUCAAAGGUAUCUCAGACUGAAGAGAAAUCAUGAGCAUGCUACUAAUCUCAGACUGAAGAGAAAUCAUAAGCACGCUACUACUUGUGGCUCAAGUUCACAUGGCUCAAAGAAGUCACAAAACUUCUCUGGAACUCAGUUUCUUCUUUGGCCAAAUGAGAAUAACCUCCACACUACAAUUUGUGAUUGUAGGAGAUCACAUAGGUGAAAGAUCUGCAAAAGUUCUAUAUAGAUCCGUUAUUGUUAGUAAGAAUACAAAAGAGAUCCAAAUACAUUUUAAGAAAGAGGAGCUAGCACUGUCACCCUAUAGCUUGCUUUUGCAUGAUUCCAAAAGUCUAAACAGAUAUCAUGGAAAGUCAUUUAGAUGAUCCCUACAGCCCUCUUCAACACUAGAAAUGCUAUUAUCAUAAUCAUUCUAGCAUGGUAUCCAACUACAUUGGCAUAUCACUUAUAUGGUAUCCAUCAAACAGGUUACUCCCUGAACUUAUGAAUUCCUGGACUCCAAUCAUAGUCAUAAAUCCAGCUUGCAAACUUCUCUGACUGGACAGCAUGAUUUUUUAUUUUCAUUUUUCAAUUAUUUGCCCAUUUUUUAAAAUAAGAUUUCACAUAAGAAUUCUAAUUUCUGUUUUCUCUUGAAAAACUAGUUUAUCGGGCAUCUUGGGGCAAUAAUCUGGUAGGAGCUGGUAACAGUUCUCCUUUUAGGAAUCACAUGUAAGGUCCAGCUUACCAGAGUCCUCAUCUAGUUUGCUUCACAGAUUUAUGUUACCUGCCUACUUGGUGCAGGGAUUUGAGUGUGCUCCUCAAAUGUACAAAGAACGCAUGGCCACAUCUAUUGAUAUAACUCAACCUGUUACUUUCUAUCCCUAAAUAUGUUUCCCCAAACACCUCCUCAUUUAUCAACAAAAUUGAGACCAUGAAAUGCCAUGUUGGUUGCUUAUUCAAAAGGAUGACAAGAAUUCUUAUUCCUACACUAUUUUUUAUUUAGAUACAUAAAGAAAAUACUAAAACAUAGCAACUGAAGGUUUAAAUGAGGAAUUGAGGGAUCCCUGGGUGGCGCAGCGGUUUGGCGCCUGCCUUUGGCCCAGGGCGCGAUCCUGGAGACCCGGGAUCGAAUCCCACAUCAGGUUCCCGGUGUAUGGAGCCUGCUUCUCCCUCUGCCUAUGUCUCUGCGCCUCUCUCUCUGUGACUAUCAUAAAUAAAUAAAAAUUUAAAAAAAUAAAUAAAUAAAUAAAUGAGGAAUUGGAAGUUGGAUUCUAUUUAAUUUUGUAAUUUAUUUCCUAACCCCUGACAUGGCUUCAAGUCAUUUAAAAAUUUUUAAACUUUACCAGCUUGAAAGUGGAAGAACCAGCGAGGUAACAUCUAAGUCUGGGAAGAAUCAGAAAAUAAUACUUAGUUAUGUCUAAUGAAGAAUGUAUUAUGUAGCAAAAUCUGAGAAACUCCAUAUGUGUACUAACCUAUUUAAGAAAACUAUCAAGUUGGUUAUUUCUAUAGAUACUGCCAUGCAAAGAAAAAAAUUAAUAUACUAAAAAGAAUUAAAAGAGAUAUGUGUAUAUCUAUGUCCAUAUUCACAAUAGCAAAAAGGCAGAAGUAAUACAAAUGUCUAUUGAUGGAUGAACAGAUUAAAAAAAUGUAGUAUAUGCAUACAACAGAAUAUUAUUCAGCCUUAGAAAGGAAAUUCUGAACCAUGGUACAACCUGGAUAAAUGCUGAGAACCUUAUAGUAAAUGAAAUAAAUCAGUCACAAAAAGACAAAUACUAUAUCUUAUAUGAGAUACCUACAGUAGUCAAAUUCAUAGAGACAGAAAGUAGAACGAUGGUUUCAGGAACUACAGGGAAGGAAAAAUGGUGAGUUUUUGUCUAAUGGGUAGAGAUUUUCAGUUUUUCAAGAUGAAAACUUGUGGAGAUUCGUUGCACAACAACGUAAAUGUCCUAAAAAGUACUAAGUUGCACAUUUUAAAUGGUGAACUGAUGGCAAAAUUUUUUAUAUGUAUUUUACCUCAAUUUAGAGAUUUUAAAAAUAUAUACCUGUAUGUAUGUAUGUACAUAUAUAUACGUGUAUAUAUACACACACACAUAUAUUUUUUUUACAGGUAUAUAUAUACUUGUAAAAAGGGGUGAAAAAAACAGAGAUGAAAGAGAUAAUAAAAAUUAUAAAUUUUAAUUAUAAUAUAAAUUAAAUUAUUUUUCAAAAUAUUUAAGGAAAGAGAAAAAAGAAACCAAUCAAAUGUAACAUCACAUUGUAGCAGACAGGGGUAAAAUUCAGUAGGAGGGGGAAGCACUUCCAGAAUAGCCAAGUAAGAACCUCUCAAAAUCUACUCCUCCAUAAAAGCAUAAAAGCUGUACUACCAAAAAUUGUCAAUAUCAACUUUUUCAAAAUUAUGGAAAUUAACAAAAGGCUUACAACAUUACAAUGAUAAUUUUAUCAUGAAAAAUGGCUGAGUCUCAAUAAGAACACUGAGCUUUGUGGGAUUUUAAUUUUCCCUAUUUCCAUCACUCUCUCCCUAGCAUCACAGUCCCCAGCAUCCCUGCAGCCAUGGGGACUGAGAAAAACAGCACUCUAGCAGUCCCUGAGAAGGCAAAAUGGGACUGGAGCUCCCUAAAAAGGCCCCCUCCCAGAGAACUGUCAUUAUUUGAACUGGCAGAUAUCUGGAAAAGCCCCAUCUCAGGACUUGUGUUUACUGGACCUAACUCAGAGAUCACUCAAUGGGAAAAAACUCUAGCCCCUCAGCAUUUGUUAAAAACAAUUGUUUAACACUGAAAACACCUAAAGCACUAAUACAGGGUGUGUGUGUGGGGGGGGGGGGUUGUGCAGGGAAGCUAACUAAAAAAAAGGAAAAAUUUGAGGAAGGAGAUGUCCAUAGAAGGACUUGAAAAGCUUUGACAUUCCUUGGGAUCUAGAAGGCCACAUACAUGUGCAGCACUACAUGCAUAUACAGUAAGUACCUGAGAAGACCCUAAUCUUUCACCUCUGGCUGACACUGAGUCUCUGUGCCUGCAGCAAUUGAAGGCUACCACUGAGCUGUCAAUGGCAUGGCUGAUUGUUGAAGGUGUAGCCCAACAUGCACCUGGAACUUCUCUGCACAUACUGAAAGAUUUCUUCAUUCCAGGCACUUAAGAAAAUUUCUGUCAAAUCAUUAGCUGACCACUAACGUAAAUAAGCAGA
This 3489-nucleotide long non-coding RNA is filed under the name Canis lupus familiaris (dog). RNAcentral's name for it is "lncRNA (ENSCAFG00000059308.1)". The record is from RNAcentral. Lineage: Eukaryota; Metazoa; Chordata; Mammalia; Carnivora; Canidae.